GACGAACGCUGGCGGCGUGCUUAACACAUGCAAGUCGAACGCUGAAGCUCAGCUUGCUGGGUGGAUGAGUGGCGAACGGGUGAGUAACACGUGAGUAACCUGCCCUCUUCUUUGGGAUAACGCCCGGAAAAGGGUGCUAAUACUGGAUAUUCACUGAUUCUCGCAUGGGGGGUGGUGGAAAGGGUUUUUCUGGUGGGGGAUGGGCUCGCGGCCUAUCAGCUUGUUGGUGGGGGGAUGGCCUACCAAGGCUUUGACGGGUAGCCGGCCUGAGAGGGUGACCGGUCACAUUGGGACUGAGAUACGGCCCAGACUCCUACGGGAGGCAGCAGUGGGGAAUAUUGCACAAUGGGCGAAAGCCUGAUGCAGCGACGCCGCGUGAGGGAUGGAGGCCUUCGGGUUGUAAACCUCUUUCGCUCAUGGUCAAGCCGCAGCUUUGGGUUGUGGUGAGGGUAGUGGGUAAAGAAGCGCCGGCUAACUACGUG
This 482-nucleotide ribosomal RNA is filed under the name uncultured bacterium. Its description in RNAcentral is "partial 16S ribosomal RNA". It matches the Rfam family "Bacterial small subunit ribosomal RNA", at positions 28 to 507 of the family's 1533-position model. The record is from RNAcentral.